RNAcentral lists this transfer RNA (81 nucleotides) under Ixodes scapularis (black-legged tick). It matches the Rfam family "tRNA". Rfam says of the family: Transfer RNA (tRNA) molecules are approximately 80 nucleotides in length. Their secondary structure includes four short double-helical elements and three loops (D, anti-codon, and T loops). Further hydrogen bonds mediate the characteristic L-shaped molecular structure. tRNAs have two regions of fundamental functional importance: the anti-codon, which is responsible for specific mRNA codon recognition, and the 3' end, to which the tRNAs corresponding amino acid is attached (by aminoacyl-tRNA synthetases). tRNAs cope with the degeneracy of the genetic code in two manners: having more than one tRNA (with a specific anti-codon) for a particular amino acid; and 'wobble' base-pairing, i.e. permitting non-standard base-pairing at the 3rd anti-codon position. Lineage: Eukaryota; Metazoa; Arthropoda; Arachnida; Ixodida; Ixodidae. The record is from Rfam by way of RNAcentral.
GCAGUCGUGGCCGAGUAAUUAAGGCGAUGGUCUAGAAAUCCAUUGGGGUCUCCCGCACAGGGUCGAAUCCAGUCGACUGCG